This 69-nucleotide transfer RNA is filed under the name Rhinichthys atratulus (blacknose dace). RNAcentral's name for it is "tRNA-His". It matches the Rfam family "tRNA". Rfam says of the family: Transfer RNA (tRNA) molecules are approximately 80 nucleotides in length. Lineage: Eukaryota; Metazoa; Chordata; Actinopteri; Cypriniformes; Leuciscidae. The record is from RNAcentral.
GUAAGUGUAGUUUAAUCAAAAUAUCAGAUUGUGAUUCUGGAGACAGGGGUUAGAACCCCCUUACUCACC